Molecule: ribosomal RNA, 262 nt
Filed under: uncultured bacterium
Lineage: Bacteria
Description: partial 16S ribosomal RNA
Rfam family: Bacterial small subunit ribosomal RNA
Source: RNAcentral
UACGAAGGGGGCUAGCGUUGCUCGGAAUCACUGGGCGUAAAGGGUGCGUAGGCGGGUCUUUAAGUCAGGGGUGAAAUCCUGGAGCUCAACUCCAGAACUGCCUUUGAUACUGAGGAUCUUGAGUUCGGGAGAGGUGAGUGAACUGCGAGUGUAGAGGUGAAAUUCGUAGAUAUUCGCAAGAACACCAGUGGCGAAGGCGGCUCACUGGCCCGAUACUGACGCUGAGGCACGAAAGCGUGGGAGCAAACAGGAUUAGAAAUCC